RNAcentral lists this long non-coding RNA (489 nucleotides) under Malus domestica (apple). Its description in RNAcentral is "long non-coding RNA (MDOM_LNC012572)". The record is from RNAcentral. Lineage: Eukaryota; Viridiplantae; Streptophyta; Magnoliopsida; Rosales; Rosaceae.
CUUAACCUAAGGUGUUAAUUGUUUUGUAGGUGCGAAAUUGUCCAAGAUCAAGGAAGAAGAAAUUUGCAUCCACAAAUUGGUGCUUUCAUUGAGAGUUGAAAUCCAUACUCGUAGAAGACUCUCGCACAAAAAGGUUUUUUCUUUAUUUUCUAGUCCAUUUGAAUAUUUUUCAUACGUUCUUAUUAUUAGAAUUUUUUACUUGCAAAGGUUCUUUGAUAAAAUGUAUAAGCAAAAUAUAAUGGCUAGAAAUUUAGAAAAUUCCACAAGUGAAAAUUCUAAUGUUCAAGAAAUGGGAUUGUGGAGAUCCGUGAGGCUAAAUGCGACAAUAAGUGGAGCAGCACCACCACCACGAGUUUCCACCACGGAACUGAAGGAUUAUUUUGUGAAAACAUGUUCAUUUAAGCAACAUCAAUAAGCAUGCAAUUAACAAUUAAAGGCGGAAUCAUGCUUGCAUGCACUUAAAAACAAAACAUAAACCAUGAAAUUCAA